GACGCUAAUACCGCAUACGUCCUACGGGAGAAAGCAGGGGACCUUCGGGCCUUGCGCUAUCAUAUGAGCCUAGGUCGGAUUAGCUAGUUGGUGGGGUAAUGGCUCACCAAGGCGACGAUCCGUAACUGGUCUGAAAGGAUGAUCAGUCACACUGGAACUGAGACACGGUCCAGACUCCUACGGGAGGCAGCAGUGGGGAAUAUUGGACAAUGGGCGAAAGCCUGAUCCAGCCAUGCCGCGUGUGUGAAGAAGGUCUUCGGAUUGUAAAGCACUUUUAAGUUGGGAGGAAGGGCAGUAAAUUAAUACUUUGCUGUUUUGACAUUUCCCCCAGAAUCAGCCCCCGGCUAACUCUGUGCCAACAGCCGCGGUAAUAUAGAGGGUGCAA
RNAcentral lists this ribosomal RNA (385 nucleotides) under uncultured bacterium. RNAcentral's name for it is "bacterial SSU rRNA". It matches the Rfam family "Bacterial small subunit ribosomal RNA", at positions 159 to 537 of the family's 1533-position model. The record is from RNAcentral.